Molecule: long non-coding RNA, 1649 nt
Organism: Armigeres subalbatus
Lineage: Eukaryota; Metazoa; Arthropoda; Insecta; Diptera; Culicidae
Exons: 2
Source: RefSeq, a predicted model, not a curated record
CCUCAUAUUUUUCUUUGCUGGGUUGUUAGGUCAGAAAAAUAUCGAGUUUUUUGCAGUUUAACAUAAAGAGCAUGCUUUUCUGAUCUCCGACAUAUUUUUAUUUUGUUUGUAAACCUUUUAUUUACAUUUUUAUACAGCAAACAAUAAGCCAUUUUAAUCGAUAGAAUGACACUAACAUUCAUAGAAUGACAGUUGGCCCAUGCAGCAUAAGAACAAUUUUUUAGUUCAAUAUAAAUUUAAAAUGCAAAUUAAAAUUAGUUCCGGGGCUCCAAAAAUUCUGAAAAAUUGGGGUUAGGCUUAGUUUUUUAUUCAGAUUCAGAAUAUGUUAAAACAUAUAUUGACCAGUGCAUGAUGACGUAGGUUGACAGUUCACAGAGCUUUUUCUCCGGGACUUAGCCUCCGGCGCAGCUUCCGAUAAAAUUGUUUCGUCAUUUUAUUCGCACGUAGAUGUCCUUUCCCGCAUAAUAAAAAACAACAUGUUAUAUGGUCAGAAUCAUUAUUACGAUGUAAGAUAUAGCUUCACAGUUUACGUUGCGGUUAUCAAAUAUUUUUCGGCUAUUCAACCAUAACUGCUCGACAUCAACGCUAAAUGUCAAUGUAUAACAUGCUGUCCCGAAAAUGUUUUAUAUUUCCUGCAUUAUAUGUCAACAUUUUAUCAUACUGUCGAGCGAAAAUUUUGCAGGCGAAAACGGCCGAUUUUUUAUGGUGACAUAACUUAACAACCCAUUCAACAUAUUGUUAUUUGUCAAAUAACCGUACCACAAACUGUUGAAACUUUAUAUAAGAUUGUUCAUAUACAGUUGUCAACAUUAAAGGAUACUGUUGCCAACCGCACGGGAAAAUGUCCAUGUACAGUUUGUAAUUAUGCGGGUUGCGAUUGAUUUCAUGCUGAAUGCAAAGAAUAACACUAAAAUAUUCGAAUCACAACAAUUUUGAACUAAAAAUAUGAAUUUUAAUUUUCCCUUCAUCGAUUUUUCUUCUAACACCUUCUUAACAAGCUCUGUGAACUGUCAAAAUAAAUGAGGUUAAGUUAGAGUUUGCAUUGGUCUAUACCCCUAAACAACCCAAUUAUGGUAUCUUGAGAUGCAAAUAAAUGCUGCAUACACUGAACCUAAGUAUCAUCCUUGGGACGACUGAUUUCGCAUCUUCCUUCUCUUUAAUAAGCUUCCUCUUACUACCGUAUGCUGCCCUGGCGCAUCUGACCCACCCGCCUAGAAUCAAAAGAAAAUCAUCCGAUCAGCGAACAAUGGUCAUGGAUGCAUGUUGAAUGUGUCGUCUUUCAUAACAAUGAAAGUGUCGUCUUUCAUAACAAUGAAAAGUAAAAUGUACUUUUGGUCGAGCUCUUGGCAAUGGUCGCAGCAAAUGACGGGAUAGAGCAAUCAAUUUCAACGGCUUUGGAUGGCGUAUAUAAAUCCGGCGGUGGUUGAUCUUAGAGCUCAGCUGGUAUCAGGUUGGUCAAGGCUUUCGUAUUUUCCGUGUAUGAAUUUCAACGUUGACGGAUUAGUCGGAAUACGGCUCGAAUGGCUCAAAGGAAAGUUAUAGUCAACAUAACGCAUCGCCGCGGAUUAUCAUAUUAGGUAUAAUUUUUUAACCAGUUGAAAACAUUACCGCGAUGAAGGAAUUAAAUAAAUUUUAAAUCUAAAUAAAAA